This 275-nucleotide ribosomal RNA is filed under the name uncultured prokaryote. RNAcentral describes it as "partial 16S ribosomal RNA". It matches the Rfam family "Bacterial small subunit ribosomal RNA", at positions 524 to 798 of the family's 1533-position model. The record is from RNAcentral.
UACGUAGGUGGCGAGCGUUGUCCGGAAUUACUAGGCGUAAAGGGCAGGCAGGCGGAUCCAUAAGUUUAUCGUUUAAGGCGUCGGCUUAACCGGCGUAGGGCGGUAGAUACUGUGGAUCUGGAAUGCGGUUGGGGAAGACAGAAUUCCUGGUGUAGCGGUGGAAUGCGCAGAGAUCAGGAGGAAUACCGAAGGCGAAGGCAGUCUUCCAAGCCGUUAUUGACGCUCAACUGCGAAGGUGUGGGUAUCAAACAGGAUUAGAUACCCUGGUAGUCCCU